UGGGGAAUAUUGCACAAUGGGCGCAAGCCUGAUGCAGCCAUGCCGCGUGUGUGAAGAAGGCCUUCGGGUUGUAAAGCACUUUCAGCGAGGAGGAAGGGUAGUGUGUUAAUAGCACAUUGCAUUGACGUUACUCGCAGAAGAAGCACCGGCUAACUCCGUGCCAGCAGCCGCGGUAAUACGGAGGGUGCAAGCGUUAAUCGGAAUUACUGGGCGUAAAGCGCACGCAGGCGGUUUGUUAAGUCAGAUGUGAAAUCCCCGCGCUUAACGUGGGAACUGCAUUUGAAACUGGCAAGCUAGAGUCUUGUAGAGGGGGUUAGAAUUCCAGGUGUAGCGGUGAAAUGCGUAGAGAUCUGGAGGAAUACCGGUGGCGAAGGCGGCCCCUGACAAAGACUGACGCUCA
This 400-nucleotide ribosomal RNA is filed under the name uncultured bacterium. RNAcentral's name for it is "bacterial SSU rRNA". It matches the Rfam family "Bacterial small subunit ribosomal RNA", at positions 355 to 749 of the family's 1533-position model. The record is from RNAcentral.